GUCCGCGGGAAUUCGAUUCAGGCCUAACACAUCCAACUCGACCGGAAAGGCCUCAGCUUGUUGGGGUACUCGAGUGGCGACCGGGUGAGUAACACGUGGGUGAUCUGCCCUUCACUUUGGGAUAAGCUUGGGAAACUGGGUCUAAUACCGUAUAUGACCACUUCUUGGAUGUUGUGGUGGAAAGCUUUUGCGGUGUGGGAUGAGCCUGCGGCCUAUCAGCUUGUUGGUGGGGUAAUGGCCUUUCAAGGCGGCGCCGCGUAUCCGGCUGAUGAGGGUGUACGGACACAUUGGGACUGAGAUACGGCCCAGUCUCCUACGGGAGGCAGCAGUGGGGAAUAUUGGACAAUGGGCGAAAGCCUGAUCC
RNAcentral lists this ribosomal RNA (364 nucleotides) under uncultured bacterium. RNAcentral describes it as "bacterial SSU rRNA". It matches the Rfam family "Bacterial small subunit ribosomal RNA", at positions 43 to 389 of the family's 1533-position model. The record is from RNAcentral.